CCUACGGGAGGCAGCAGUGGGGAAUAUUGGACAAUGGGGGGAACCCUGAUCCAGCCAUGCCGCGUGUGUGAAGAAGGCCUUUUGGUUGUAAAGCACUUUAAGCGAGGAGGAGGAGCUCUUAGUUAAUACCUAAGAUGCGUGGACGUUACUCGCAGAAUAAGCACCGGCUAACUCUGUGCCAGCAGCCGCGGUAAUACAGAGGGUGCGAGCGUUAAUCGGAUUUACUGGGCGUAAAGCGCGCGUAGGUGGCUAAUUAAGUCAAAUGUGAAAUCCCCGAGCUUAACUUGGGAAUUGCAUUCGAUACUGGUUGGCUAGAGUAUGGGAGAGGAUGGUAGAAUUCCAGGUGUAGCGGUGAAAUGCGUAGAGAUCUGGAGGAAUACCGAUGGCGAAGGCAGCCAUCUGGCCUAAUACUGACACUGAGGUGCGAAAGCAUGGGGA
Molecule: ribosomal RNA, 438 nt
Filed under: Acinetobacter indicus
Lineage: Bacteria; Pseudomonadati; Pseudomonadota; Gammaproteobacteria; Moraxellales; Moraxellaceae
Description: bacterial SSU rRNA
Rfam family: Bacterial small subunit ribosomal RNA
Source: RNAcentral